Molecule: non-coding RNA, 125 nt
Organism: Hordeum vulgare subsp. vulgare (domesticated barley)
Lineage: Eukaryota; Viridiplantae; Streptophyta; Magnoliopsida; Poales; Poaceae
Source: Rfam
AUAAUACUCCCUUCGUUUGGAAUUACUUGUCGAAUAAAUAUAUAAAAAUAAAUAUAUCUACAAUUAAAAUAUAUCUAGAUAUAUCCAUUCCUAUGACAAAUAUUUCCGGACGGAGGGAGUAGCUG